Molecule: ribosomal RNA, 260 nt
Filed under: uncultured Sphingobacteriales bacterium
Lineage: Bacteria; Pseudomonadati; Bacteroidota; Sphingobacteriia; Sphingobacteriales
Description: partial 16S ribosomal RNA
Rfam family: Bacterial small subunit ribosomal RNA
Source: RNAcentral
GGUAAUGCUGGGGACUCUAAAGGAACUGCCUACGCAAGUAAGUGAGGAAGGCGGGGAUGACGUCAAAUCAGCACGGCCCUUACGUCCAGGGCUACACACGUGCUACAAUGGCCGAUACAGAGGGCAGCUACCUGGUGACAGGAUGCAAAUCUCCAAAGUCGGUCUCAGUUCGGAUCGGAGUCUGCAACCCGACUCCGUGAAGUUGGAUUCGCUAGUAAUCGCGCAUCAGCCAUGGCGCGGUGAAUACGUUCCCGGGCCUU